This 327-nucleotide unclassified non-coding RNA is filed under the name soil metagenome. RNAcentral's name for it is "partial contains 5.8S ribosomal RNA, internal transcribed spacer 2, and large subunit ribosomal RNA". The stretch from base 1 to 120 matches the Rfam family "5.8S ribosomal RNA", at positions 35 to 154 of the family's 154-position model. The record is from RNAcentral.
GAUGAAGAACGCAGCGAAAUGCGAUAAGUAAUGUGAAUUGCAGAAUUCAGUGAAUCAUCGAAUCUUUGAACGCACAUUGCGCCCCUUGGUAUUCCGAGGGGCAUGCCUGUUCGAGCGUCAUUAUAACCCUCAAGCUCAGCUUGGUGUUGGGGCCUGCUGCACUGGCAGCCCUUAAAAUCAGUGGCGGCGCCAUCUGGCUCUAAGCGUAGUAAUUCUUCUCGCUAUGGAGUCCUGGUGGAUGCUUGCCAUCAACCCCCAAUUUUUCUAUGGUUGACCUCGGAUCAGGUAGGGAUACCCGCUGAACUUAAGCAUAUAAUAAGCGGAGGA